This 3103-nucleotide long non-coding RNA is filed under the name Homo sapiens (human). RNAcentral's name for it is "long non-coding RNA NONHSAT010857.2". Lineage: Eukaryota; Metazoa; Chordata; Mammalia; Primates; Hominidae. The record is from RNAcentral.
AAAACUGUGCCAAUCAAACACCAGAGACCAUGAGAACAGCCGUGUGUGGGAGGGGGCGGAAACAAACUGUGCCAAUCAAACACCAGAGACCAUGAGAACAAUGGUGUGGGGGAAAAAAAAAAGAAAUGGAGGAGGAAUAUUUAAGGAAAUCUGCAACAUAAGAAAAAAAUUAGAAGUAGGUCAGAAAUGAAAGAGCAACCAUACGUGUGAACCCAAUGUGCUUAGAAAGUGAGAGCACCGUGGCCGUGUCCUUCAGGAGAAUGAGCUUUUGCUACGGGAGAACAGAGCCAGUAAGUUACGUGCUGACGACCACACUAACACCCCUGAGCCUACAGAGAAUAAAAGCAAGGCAUUUACAGCCAGAAGACCAGAAUCCAAGUUGCCCCCACCCAUUCUAUUUUCUUGGGGUAACCACUUCUUUCCCGCAAGCAUCAGCUUCCUGCAAGCAGCCCUGGGUGAACUCCCGCACCUCCCAGUGCCGUGCAGCCCCAAGGGAACUCCCGCACCUCACAAGCUGCCCAAGUGGUGCACAUACCUGGCUGCUUCUGUCGAGGCUUAGGCAAGUUUGUGACGCAGGUGUGGGGGCACAUUAGGACAUUGCAGGGGUGCAGAGAGCCCUCCAGAAAAAGCUGUUUUGUUUCUGAUAAAUGGAUCCCACCAAGCGGGGUUUUGGGGAGGGUGUUUGCUGGCACCAAGGCCAGGCAAUAAACUCCAACUUGAUGUAUACUGUCAAUCGCCUAGAAAGUUAAUAAAGAGGAAAUCAUGUUAUAAGAGGAAGUAUAAACAGUACGUAUUUAUAUUAUGCAAAAUAUGAUCCACAAUACACAGAAGUCUGUGCAGUAUAAGCACUGUUCCCAGCAUAAAAAUGCCAAGGUAAGAGAAAGGAUUUUCCUACUAAACUCACCAAAGCUGAAUAAUGUUACCCAGGGCUUGUGGAAGACCAUACACAGUAAAAAAGGAACUUUGGAGAAAAGAUAACAUGUUCUCAAGAUCAAACAAAAAGCUUACUUCGACCUCCCCAAGGUGUCCGGUAGGAACCAGCUGUGCAAAUUCCUGGUCCCUACACCCUCGAUCUGCUGAGCUAGUUUCUGGACACUUGAUGUAGUUCCUGAUCAAAUGAAGGGAAGGGAAAAAGGGCCACCCCAUGGGCAAAGCAACAGCUGGUCACACCAUGAUCUGAAUGAAGUAAGGAGGCCAGAAACAAGACACAGGGGACCAGUGCCCAGGGCGAGGGAGGGCAACCUGCAGCACACGGCUCAUCCACUGGAAACUGUCCUCUUCCGUGGAGUCAGGCCUCUGCUCAGCCACGAUCACGAUCCUCUCGUCGUGCAGCACGGUCACCGAGAACACGGCUAUCCUGCGGGGACACAGGAGCAUGGUGAGCACGCGCCGGGGACGCUCAUGCAGCCCUCCCUCCGCCAUCAGGGGCUCCAUAACCAUCACUAGUGAGUGACACAGCUCCAACUACGACUUCAAAACGGCCGCUGUACUUCCGAAUUUCCCCACACUCAUCAGUACGGGAAGAACUGUGGGAGGCGCCCAGGGAUGCUGCCGAGGCAAGGUCACCCUGAUCCCCACGGAGGCCACACACAGCACCCGCGGGCUCUGGUGACCAGGUUGCGCCUUUCGGUACAGAGGGGCAAAUGCGCAAUGAUCAGACCUGCUGAAAUUUAGGGAGUCACACCCUUCACAGCUCGAGUUUGCACCCGUGAAGUUAACGGUCUCCAAAUCAGUAGAAAUUUGCCGUUUCAGAACUAGUGAUUUUCUGCUAAGUGUAUGUGCCUUAUACUGUCAGCACAGCACAGUCACCUCCAGUAAAAGAGAUUGUAGCUGUAAAGAUAAUUCAAAGGCAGCAACAUCAUAUCCAGGUAUCUACUUCCUGCUCCCAUCAGCUUCCAAACUGAAAAAAGGCUCUAAAACACUUUAUGACUUCCUCCAGAUUGGCAAAAACUCAGGAACCGUGGCAACUUAUUUCAUCACGGAGCCUCCACUGUGCACCAGGCAAGGCAGGGAGAAGAAAACUGGUAGAGCGGGGAGGUGGCGAGCGUCUGCACUCACACAAGUCUGUGACUGAACCAUUGUCCUUGGGUCUCUCCAACCCGCUCCACGAUGGAUAUCUGGAUCUUUAAUUUGUGCAGUUAUUUAUCAGAAAUAAGUUUUCUAAUGCAUAUUUCUAUUAUACUUAGAGGGGAAGUUCAAUGGAAAUAUAUUUAUGGAGCUCAGGGAAUUUCUAUAAAAUCUUGGACAUUCAGAACUGGAUUAAAUCUCAGAGGUCAGAGUCCAGUUGCUUCAAUAACAUGGAAGAGGAAACGGAGACACAAUACAUUUAAGGAAACUGUGCAACUUUCAACCCUUCAAAACCACAUAAAAAAUAUGGCCGACCGGAAACCAUAUGCUUGAUUUGCAGAACGCCACUGACCUUCCCCGGUAGACAAACUUCAUGGGUUCUACGGCCAGCGCAGUGGCCACGAUGUCGUCGGCGUUGUGCCUGCGCCCGCUGACCACCAUGAGGCCAUCCAUCUUGCCCACCACGAAGACGAGGCCUCCGGGACCCACGAACCCCAGCAAGCCUGUCCUUAUGAAUGGGUAUUCACUGAUCGGAGCCCCGGAGCUUGUCAUGGGAAACACCUGGGGGAAACAGCAUCCAUCAGGCCACUGUUCAUGUGGUCAGCUGGUUUUAAUCCUCGCCGCUACUCCUGGGAGCACGGCACCUGCUUUGCUUAAGCUCUGCCUUUCACCCCAGCAACCCUGCCCUAGGGCCGAGGUCACAGUGACCGCUGGUGGCCAACAGUCUUCGAGGCAGAAAAGCACUUCCUGCCCACCUCAGCAGGACCCCAUCCGUUCCUGCACCUCCACUCACCUGCUGGAGCCUCCUGCCUCUGAACCCUGAACAGAUAACACCCAGAAGUCUCACAGGAGGCCAAUCAGCAGUAACUGAUUACUUGGUUUACAAAACCACAAUGUAAAAGACGAGUGAAGAGUCAAGGUACAUUUUAAACAACGUCUGUUAGUUUUAAAGUAAUCUCUCUUCAUUCAUAAAAUGUUAUUUGCCCUUGUUGGAAGUAUGCUGAAAAGAAAAAUAUUAAGGAAGCAAAUCAGAUCA